This 975-nucleotide long non-coding RNA is filed under the name Malus domestica (apple). Its description in RNAcentral is "long non-coding RNA (MDOM_LNC017804)". Lineage: Eukaryota; Viridiplantae; Streptophyta; Magnoliopsida; Rosales; Rosaceae. The record is from RNAcentral.
AUUAAUUUAGGUAAUUAAUCCUAUUUUGAAUAAAUAUUUUGGAGGUUACCUUGUGGGGAGGAUUUGAUGAGGAUGAAUGAACUCGGUUUUGAAUAAAUACCUAUUUUGAUCACUUUUGACCUUGAUUGAGUUGUUAUUGUCCGAUGCUUACGCGUGGGAGUUCUGGUGCCCCUUGAGGGUAAUUUUGUCUUUUUAACUCAAGAAUCCAUGUGUCACCUCCAUAUUUUUCUUGAUUAUUUUUUGCUCCACAAAUACCCCCACACCUGUUGGGUUGCUCGUAAGAAAGGGCAGCAAGUGUAGAGAUCUUCUUGCUUUAGGAAACAUAGAAUUAUUUCCUAUUUUGAUGUAGAUUCCCUCUUUAAUUGGAAAUUAGAUCCUUCUAGGAAAGGGAAAUAAAUUUCUCCCAAUGUCUAUUUAAGUCUACCUUAAGUAGAUAUUAUUAAAUCAACUUUGGAGAACAAUUUAUCCUACCCUACAAGAAAGAGAAAGCUAGAGAUAUUUGUUCCCCCUCCUCUAGCAAUCCUUUACUAUUGCAUGUGCAAAAGACCAUCUUUCGUUGCUUUCUUUGUCUUUUCCAUGCCGCACUGGGGUAAGAAAAAAAAUAAUUUUCCUUGUCUUCUUCUUGGAUAGUGUUGUCGUAGGUCAGCCGUCGAGGUGGUGCGGCAUGUAACGCCCCGCCCCGAAUUAAUCCUUUAAUUCGAGAAAUAAUAUUAUUAUUAUCGAUAGCCCCAAACUAAACUCUACUUUCAUUAUCAAAUCCCAAAUUACAAAACGUUAUUCAAAUUCCUUAAUUCCUUCAACUAGACAUAACCAUAAUUUUAAUUUAUAAGGCAUAUGCUUAGAUUUUUUUUUUUUUUAAAUCUCUAAAUUUUCUUCACUUUAAAAACACUUCUCAACCAAAGGUUAAUUCACAGUUAUUUAACCUUACUUAUCGUAUGGUUGCAUCUAACGUCUCGUUAGACUGCCUACGUACCC